CGCUGGCGGCGCGUCUUAAGCAUGCAAGUCGAACGGCAAGGCAGGUGCUUGCACCUGCCCUAGAGUGGCGGACUGGUGAGUAACACGUGGGUGACAUGCCUUUAGUUGGGGAUAGCUACUAGAAAUAGUAGAUAAUACCGAAUGUGAUCAAUAUUUAUAGAUGAUGUUGAGGAAAGGAGCUAAGGCUUCGCUAAAAGAUUGGCCCGCGGCCCAUUAGCUAGUUGGUAGGGUAAAGGCUUACCAAGGCGAUGAUGGGUAUCCGGCCUGAGAGGGUGAUCGGACACAUUGGGACUGAGAUACGGCCCAGACUCCUACGGGAGGCAGCAGCUAAGAAUAUCCCACAAUGGACGAAAGUCUGAUGGAGCGACGCCGCGUGGAUGAUGAAAGGCCGAAAGGUUGUAAAAUCCUUUUACACUGGAGGAAUAAGCAGAGUAGGGAAUGACUCUGUGAUGACUGUACAGUUUGAAUAAGCAACGGCUAAUUACGUGCCAGCCGCUGC
RNAcentral lists this ribosomal RNA (499 nucleotides) under uncultured bacterium. Its description in RNAcentral is "bacterial SSU rRNA". It matches the Rfam family "Bacterial small subunit ribosomal RNA", at positions 34 to 518 of the family's 1533-position model. The record is from RNAcentral.